ACUUAUUAGAUAUUAAACCAGUCCCAGCAAUGGGUUUUUUUGGUGAUUCAUAGUAACUGAACAAAUCACAUGGUCUCGUACCGGUGAUGUUUCAUUCAAAUUUCUGCCCUAUCAACUAGAUGGUAGUAUAUAGGACUACCAUGGUUGUAACGGGUAACGGAGGAUUAGGGGUUUGAUUCCGGAGAAGGAGCAUGAGAAACGGCUACUAUUUCUAAGGAAAGCAGCAGGCGCGCAAAUUAUUCAAUGGAAACAAUUUUCCGAAAUAGUGACAAAAAUAUCAAUGCUGGAUACUAUGUAUUUAGUAAUUGGAAUGAGUACAAUUUAAAUCCCUUAACAAGUAACAAUUAGAGGGCAAGUCUGGUGCCAGCAGCCGCGGUAAUUCCAGCUCUAAUAGCGUAUAUUAAUAUUGUUGCAGUUAAAAAGCUCGUAGUUGAAAUUUGGAACUUUAUUGUAUUGGUUUAUCUUUUGAUGAAUGUAUAAUGGGUUUCUUCCUUACUAGAGUUCGAUUCUGUUCUUAAUUG
RNAcentral lists this ribosomal RNA (521 nucleotides) under uncultured eukaryote. RNAcentral describes it as "bacterial SSU rRNA". It matches the Rfam family "Eukaryotic small subunit ribosomal RNA", at positions 203 to 724 of the family's 1831-position model. The record is from RNAcentral.